RNAcentral lists this transfer-messenger RNA (356 nucleotides) under Chitinivibrionales. Its description in RNAcentral is "WJMI01 sp014728015 Standard tmRNA". It matches the Rfam family "transfer-messenger RNA". Rfam says of the family: Bacterial tmRNA, also known as 10Sa RNA or SsrA, is named for its dual tRNA and mRNA-like properties. The record is from RNAcentral. Lineage: Bacteria; Pseudomonadati; Fibrobacterota; Chitinivibrionia. RNAcentral also lists the same sequence under 1 other name.
GGGGGUGUACCGGUUUUCGACGGGAGGUGUGAAGUUCAGGCAGCAUGCCGAGGAUCAUCGGUUGGCCUCGUUAAUCAUCCGAUGACAUCUAUAACUGCCGAAGAUUACUCUUACGCAGUUGCUGCCUAACUAAAGGCGGCGAAUCCGUCGGGCGUUGCGCCCGUCGUUCGGCGGAUCAAGUCAGGGCGCUGGUUCGGCAGGAUGUGUCGACUGCCGGGCGAGACAAAUCGGCACUGGUCGUCUACCGAGCCUGUCUUCCGGCGCGGCGGACGGCGAGAUUAAAGGGAAGACUAAGCAUGUAGCGGCCUGGGUAGAGCGCUUGCCGGACAGGGGUUCGACUCCCCUCACCUCCAGAC